Molecule: ribosomal RNA, 497 nt
Filed under: uncultured bacterium
Lineage: Bacteria
Description: partial 16S ribosomal RNA
Rfam family: Bacterial small subunit ribosomal RNA
Source: RNAcentral
GAUGAACGCUGGCGGCGUGCCUAAUACAUGCAAGUCGAGCGAAAAGACGAGGAGCUUGCUACUCUGACGGUAACGGCGGAAGGGUGAGUAACAUGUGGAUAACCUACCUAUAAGACUGGGAUAACUUCGGGAAACCGGAGCUAAUAACGGAUAAUAUAUUGAACCGCAUGGUUCAAUAGUGAAAGACGGUUUUGCUGUCACUUAUAGAUGGAUCCGCGCCGCAUUAGCUAGUUGGUAAGGUAACGGCUUACCAAGGCAACGAUGCGUAGCCGACCCGUGAGGGUGUAGCGCCACAGUGGAACUGAGCCACGGCACUGACACCGACAGGAGGCAGCAGUAGGGAAGCUUCCGCGCUGGGCGAAAGCCUGACGGAGCAACGCCGCGCGAGUGAUGAAGGUCUGCGGAUCGUAAGACGCUGUUAGUGUUGAAAAACAAUUGUGUAAGUGACUAUGCACGUCUUGACGGUACCUAAACAGAAAGCCACGGCUAACUACGUG